Molecule: transfer RNA, 68 nt
Filed under: Nasutitermes acangussu
Lineage: Eukaryota; Metazoa; Arthropoda; Insecta; Blattodea; Termitidae
Also listed under: 1 other name
Description: tRNA-Cys
Source: RNAcentral
AGCCUUGUAUUCAUUUUGUGAUUACAGAAUGCAAUUCUGUAGGGGUGGGUUAAGACUUACCAAGGCCU